UCUCCGUAGGUGAACCUGCGGAGGGAUCAUUACUGAGUCCAUCCCAUACCCGGAAGCCUGCCCACCCACCUUUUGUACUACUUUGUUGCUUUCGCCGGCCGUCAUGCUCCGGCCCCACUACCAGCCCCGGCUGGUGAGCACCCGCCAGAGGACCCAAAACCCUGCAUAUUCUUGUCGUCUGAGUACUAUAUAAUAGUUAAAUCUUUCAACAACCGCUCUCUUCUUUCUGGCAUCGAUGAAGAACGAAACAGGUCGGAAGCGCACACGUCUGCACUCCAC
This 279-nucleotide unclassified non-coding RNA is filed under the name plant metagenome. Its description in RNAcentral is "partial contains small subunit ribosomal RNA, internal transcribed spacer 1, and 5.8S ribosomal RNA". The record is from RNAcentral.